Long non-coding RNA from Nothobranchius furzeri (turquoise killifish), 2093 nucleotides. NCBI's taxonomy places the organism in Eukaryota, Metazoa, Chordata, Actinopteri, Cyprinodontiformes, Nothobranchiidae. The record is from Ensembl.
GCUCAAAGGGGGCCUCGCCCGGGGAGUAAUUCGAUGUAGAACCGCCACUGCAUGUGUGCAGGAGUGAGAGCAAGGCAGCUAGUUCAUCGCCUCCUCUUGGGUUUAAGUAUUUGAUCAGGAAACGGGUAAAUUUCAGCAGUUUUGGCCAUAAACAUGUUGAAAUCAUACAUAAACCAGUCAGUGGACACACUUGAUUUCCUACUAUAGCAUUAUUGGUCUAAUUAGUCACGAUGACUGCCUUCCCUCCUCAGACCACACGUAACUGCAUGAAUGGAGAGAGUGAUGGUUAAAAAUGUAUAUAUAACUUAUAUAUGCCGUGUGUUACUCUAUCAGUUAGUGUGAUCGGCCAAAAAUGUUUGGGUAACAGACAAGAUACCAUUCAUAAGCUAGGUGUAUAUCCUGGCUCACAAAACCCACAUAGCCAUAACAUGUGCAGAAGUCACCACUGGCCUCUAGGAUGUGCUGUGAUCAAACCUCGAGGGAAAAAGGUGUAUUCAGGGAUGUGCCUGAAGUCACGUGCAUGUGACCAUCCCUGACUGUACAUACUGCUGCUUCUCAUUUGUAUUGCUGCUGCUCAACCAUCACACUACUGUCUAUCCAUGCUACUGUUCGACUUGUAUCUGUAAGUCUUCACCUGCUUGUUAAGCUAAUGUAAUGGUCACAUUGUCAGUAUGCAUGCUAAGCCACGCUGCAUUUGUUUACCUAUUUUAUCGCAUUGCUUAGCUUUGGCUGUCAGGCCAUGCUGCUGCUUCACACUGCCGUGAGCUUCUGCUCACUCAGCUUUGUAUGUCGCCGCAGGGCUCCUUCAUCCUUGUCAAUAAAGCCAUUAGACAUCGAGGAGUGUAUUUCUUCAUGAAGGAGCCAUGGUGGUCGUCAGAUGCUCUGUUCCAGCCUGCUCGUUCGCCACCGACGACGUGUCCGAGGCUCUCGCCGUGGCGCUGCUGGCAAACCAUGGCCUGGCCCAUCAGAGCCGGACCGAACCCGCUGCACCCGUGGCCUGCCUGGCCCUGCGCUGGAUCGACCGAGAGUGGAUGUCGGCAUGUCCAUCGAGGAAUGGAACGUUUUUACACGCCGCUGGGACCUGCAUGUCAACAAAAUGCCAGGUAAAGGCAAGAUUACAGACAUGCUUGUCCGCUCCACCAUCUUGCCAAAACGCAGUUCUUCCCAGCCAAUGAAAAGCCUCUUCUACACAGUCCCUAACAGGUGAAUCGCGUUAAUCCCUACUUUACAAGUAUAUAUAUACUGUAAACCAGUACACUGAAUUGGCAUGAGGUGCAUACUGUAUCUACAAAACUGCAGGACAUGGAAGGUCAGCCUUGUGGAAGUGGGGUAGAGGGGGAAAGGGGAGAACAGGUGAGCAUACUGUAAUGUAGUUAUUCAGCACAAACUUGCCCUAUGCUAUCAUAGUCAUACAGGAGACUUACAUUAGUACAUGACCUUACAGACUUUUAAAUAUAGACGUACUGUAACUGUCACUGUAACUCAGACUUGAUGUAGCAUAGUGUGCUGUGGUACAAUACAGUAGUACUGUAAAGAAAGGAGCAUUGAAUGACAGUGCUGUAACAAUUACCGUAAGCAUGUUUGAGCUUAUUUAUGUUUGUGUUUUUUUUAUAUGCACCUUAAAGGAUUGCCAGACAACCUAGAAGAGGUGGAAGAGGUCCCAUUUUGACUCUGCUGCAAGAGGAAGGAAUUUGUAGACUUUAGAGUCUGAUGCCACCGUUCUAAAGCCCUUUAGGACUCUGGAUGGUAAGGACUUGAGAAAAUAUGUUGUAUUUUUAGCUCCCUUAAUAUCUGUUUGAAAAGGUUAGACUUAAAGUUAGUACCUUGGUAGAAGAAGAAGAAGAAGUAGAAGAAGAAGAAGAAGUAGAAGAAGAAGUAGAAGAAGAAGAAGAAGAAGUAGAAGAAGAAGAAGAAAAUAUCAUUUCUAUAGCACCUCUCAAGAUAAAAAUCACGAGGCGCUUGGUCAGUCUGAACUAGCCUAAAAAGGCUAAAGGUGGAAAAGAAAUUUGUCAGGGCUUUUGUCACAGAGCUAGAGGUAAUCCUACAAAGUGGAAUAGCCUCAGGAUAACGUGUCGAUACGCACAUCAAAGUAA